CCUACGGGCGGCAGCAGUGAGGAAUAUUGGUCAAUGGACGCAAGUCUGAACCAGCCAUGCCGCGUGCAGGAAGACGGCUCUAUGAGUUGUAAACUGCUUUUGUACGAGGGUAAACGCAGAGACGCGUAUCUGUCUGAAAGUAUCGGACGAAUAAGGAGCGGCUAACUCCGUGCCAGCAGCCGCGGUAAUACGGAGGAUUCAAGCGUUAUCCGGAGUUAUGGGGGUUAAAGGGUGCGUAGGCGGUCGGAUAAGUUAGAGGUGAAAUCCCUCGGCUCAACUUCGGAAUUGCCUCUGAUACUGUUCGUCUAGAGCGUAGUUGCGGUAGGCGUAAUGUCUGGUGUAGCGGUGACAUGCUUA
This 357-nucleotide ribosomal RNA is filed under the name uncultured bacterium. RNAcentral describes it as "partial 16S ribosomal RNA". It matches the Rfam family "Bacterial small subunit ribosomal RNA", at positions 338 to 692 of the family's 1533-position model. The record is from RNAcentral.